UACGCAGGUGGCAAGCGUUGUCCGGAAUUACUGGGUGUAAAGGGAGCGCAGGCGGGAAGCCAAGUCAGCUGUGAAAACUACGGGCUUAACUUGUAGACUGCAGUUGAAACUGGUUUUCUUGAGUGAAGUAGAGGUUGGCGGAAUUCCGAGUGUAGCGGUGAAAUGCGUAGAUAUUCGGAGGAACACCGGUGGCGAAGGCGGCCAACUGGGCUUUAACUGACGCUGAGGCUCGAAAGUGUGGGGAGCAAACAGG
Molecule: ribosomal RNA, 253 nt
Filed under: uncultured bacterium
Lineage: Bacteria
Description: partial 16S ribosomal RNA
Rfam family: Bacterial small subunit ribosomal RNA
Source: RNAcentral